CAUACAAUAAUACAGUCGCCAUGACUGACAAAUGUUUUAGUGUAUGUUUGGAGUUGACUUCCACUUUGAUGUGGAACGCAGACAAAAAAAAGGGGGUGAGUCGGAGUCCAGUGAACAUAGAGUGCUUUGAGAUCAAAUACCUACAACGGUAUCCAUGCAUAGUAGUGACGUCUCUUAGCAUUCCGGAAGGCCAGGAACAUUCCUGAAUGAAACUGUUUGCUUAUGGAAAAAAGGAAAACAAAAAGAACAUUUCUUAAGUUAUCAUGCAAAAACAACAAGGUCAUUUUCCUCCUUUGUGGUUUUUGUUGUUUUUUUUUUUUAAAUAAGGUGGCUAGUUUUGUCGUCAUAAGUACCAGGCUCAUGCACGGACUGACACCAGAGGGCGAUGUCCACACUUUUUUUUCUUUUUCUUUUUUUUUUUCUUUUAAAUUUUUUUUCUGAGGUUCAAUUGCAGGUAUGAAUGUGAGUGUGACUGCCCUGCGAUUGACUCGAGACCAGUCCAGGGUGCACCCCACAUACUGUCCGAAGUCACCUGGGAUAGGCUCCAGCAUGCCCCCCCCCGCGACCCACAAAUUGACAUCUUCCUCCGUGCGUCCAUGUGAGAACGGCGUCUUGCCAAGUAGCCAUCUUGAAGUCCUGCAGGAAGUGGAUGCAAUGAAGAACCUUGUGAUGGUGUGGUUCAAAGGUCAUAACAAGACGGCUUGAGUUUUUGUGCGGCAGUUUUUGUCACCGGGUCUUCAAGCCACGAUCCUCAGCCAAUCGCAGCACGUCUUUGCUUUCAAGAUGGCGGCGAGGACGGCGGCAAAGGCGUCCGGCGAGCUUGGAGUGGUGCGUUGGAUUAAGGCCCAGGCUGAGGUUACAACGAGGAGAUCUUGAUGGUGUCGGAGGUGUAGGCGGUGGCACGCGUCGUACGCAGGAUGCCAGUCGGGAUGACAGCAGGCGAAGGAGGGAGGCUGUCGUCGGGUGUGUUGGCGGGUGGCGUUGGGAUGCUGAUGAUGGCAGCGCUGAAGUCCUGCUCGCCGCAGUUCAGUUUGAGGUCCACUUGUGCGUUGAGACUUGAACGUCUAAGACAAAAAAAAAACACACACACACGUCAGCGGCAAAACACGGCGCUAAAUGUUAUUAAAGUUUACGUUUGUUUACGUCUGAGGUGGAAGAUGCGUGCUCUUGGUGUGCAACGUGUCCAGCUCCUGAACGCUCCCCCGACUCACGGACACAGUAGAGUUAGCCAGACGCAUGGCCGCCCGCCUUCGAACGCGGCGAGGGCAGCAGCCUGUUGAGUGGUUUGGCGCCCCCUGCUGGCUGGACAGGGAGGUGCUGCGGCUGGUUCGGAAGCCAACUGACUCGGUGAUGCACAACUCGCUGUAGUUCAGCUCGUCUGUGAACUCGUGGUUCUGUGAAGGAGAUGGGGGGGGGGCAGUUGACUUCCUAGGUUUCUAUUUUAGUCUCUAACAGGAAAGACACUAAAUCAAGGAUGUCCGAGGUGUGUUUUUAUCCCACAGUUCCUCUCCAUCCUUUAUCCUAUCUCUCAAUGUCACGUGUCCCUCAACACUGUUCCUUAUUUCUAAAAUCACAAAUACAAAUCACAAAAUGCUGAUAUUCGUAUUUUGGUACGGGACAAAAAAUUAAAAUUAAAAUUAAAAUUAAAAUUAAAAUUAAAAUUAAAAUUAAAAUUAAAAUUAAAAUUAAAAUUAAAAUUAAAAUUAAAAUUAAAAUUAAAAUUAAAUAAAUUUAAAAGAACUUAAACUAUAUUCGGAAAGCAGGAAGUGAACAAA
Molecule: non-coding RNA, 1775 nt
Organism: Doryrhamphus excisus (bluestripe pipefish)
Lineage: Eukaryota; Metazoa; Chordata; Actinopteri; Syngnathiformes; Syngnathidae
Source: RefSeq, a predicted model, not a curated record